This 396-nucleotide ribosomal RNA is filed under the name uncultured bacterium. Its description in RNAcentral is "partial 16S ribosomal RNA". It matches the Rfam family "Bacterial small subunit ribosomal RNA", at positions 523 to 918 of the family's 1533-position model. The record is from RNAcentral.
AUACGUAGGUGACAAGCGUUAUCCGGAUUUACUGGGCGUAAAGGGCGUGUAGGCGGUCUUGCAAGUCUGAAGUGAAAGCCCGCGGCUCAACCGCGGGACUGCUUUGGAAACUAUGUAGCUUGAGUGUCGGAGAGGUAAGCGGAAUUCCAAGUGUAGCGGUGAAAUGCGUAGAUAUUUGGAAGAACACCGGUGGCGAAGGCGGCUUACUGGACGAUAACUGACGUUGAGGCUCGAAGGCGUGGGGAGCAAACAGGAUUAGAUACCCUGGUAGUCCACGCGGUAAACGAUGAAUACUAGGUGUCGGUGCCCAAAGGGUAUCGGUGCCGUCGCAAACGCAGUAAGUAUUCCACCUGGGGAGUACGUUCGCAAGAAUGAAACUCAAAUGAAUUGACGGGG